UACGUAGGUGGCAAGCGUUAUCCGGAUUUAUUGGGUGUAAAGGGCGUGUAGGCGGGAGCGCAAGUCAGAUGUGAAAACUCAGGGCACAACCCUGAGCCUGCAUUUGAAACUGUGUUUCUUGAGUGCUGGAGAGGCAAUCGGAAUUCCGUGUGUAGCGGUGAAAUGCGUAGAUAUACGGAGGAACACCAGUGGCGAAGGCGGAUUGCUGGACAGUAACUGACGCUGAGGCGCGAAAGCGUGGGGAGCAAACAGG
This 253-nucleotide ribosomal RNA is filed under the name uncultured bacterium. RNAcentral describes it as "partial 16S ribosomal RNA". It matches the Rfam family "Bacterial small subunit ribosomal RNA", at positions 524 to 776 of the family's 1533-position model. The record is from RNAcentral.